This 3939-nucleotide long non-coding RNA is filed under the name Sus scrofa (pig). RNAcentral's name for it is "lncRNA (ENSSSCG00040045588.1)". Lineage: Eukaryota; Metazoa; Chordata; Mammalia; Artiodactyla; Suidae. The record is from RNAcentral.
CCGAGGGCCUCAUCUCGCAUCUCUGCGUUCUCUGACUGGAGAAGGAUGCUUCCCUUUGCUUCCCAGCGGAUCUCUGGGGCCUUCUUCGGGCUCCAAGCACUCUGGGCAGGAGGACCGUUGUCCGGCCGACGUGGAAAGCUAGGGGACAAAUCUCAAGCACCCAGAAGGCUACAAAACUCAGCGCUCUCCUUGCCCUGGGCCUGGCUCAGUCUUCUGGAUUUGGUUUCAGACUUGGCCAACAUCCCUCUACUAUCUUCCCAGCUGGUGUUCAAGAAUAGCCCCCCUCCACUGGAUUCAGGAUCCCACACUAAACCACAGCUUCCCAUCUGGGGACUUCCCUGUUCAGCUUCCUCAGACCGUCCUCUCCCCGGUUCCUGAUGAAGGCCGUCUGCGUAGAACCUGCCUCUGGACUCAGGAAGCGCAAGCCUUUCCUUCCUUCUCGAAUCGUAAGUGACCACAACGUCCUGUUUGCUUUGCAGCACCUAAUACGUAAACUUUUAUUAUGGGAGUGUGUGAUCGCAGGUUGUAUUUUUAGUAGAUUUAUUGAAUUGGUAAAUAUGUAUUUAAUGUCAACUAUGUUUCAAGAAGACUCAUCGCUGCCAAAUGCACAGAAGUGAGAGAAAUCAGAUCACUUCCUGUACAGAGUUCGCAUUCCAAGGGGGCUGGGAGACAACACAGAAGAAAGUGAAGAAAAACUCGAGAUUAUGUGAGCUAAUGAGCUAAGAAGACGAUAAUUCAAGGGGUUUGAAGACUUGGAGGUGGCGGGGCAUGCAUGGGGCUUGCUGAUUUAAUAAGGUAGUGAGGAAAAGGGCAUCUGAGGGGAAAAUGUUGGAGAUCCUCAAAACCUAGAGUUCAAAGACUCGCCCCCCCCCUUUUUUUUUUGCUUUUUUAGGGUCGCACCCAUGGCCUAUGAACGUUCCCAGGCUAGGGCUUGAAUCAGAGCUACAGCUGCUGGCCUCCACCGCAGCUACAGCAAUGCAGGAUCUGAGCCGUGUCUGCAACCUACACCACAGCUCACGGCAACACCGGAUCCUCAGCCCACUGAGCAAGGCCAGGGAUCCUAGUUGAAUUCGGACUCCUUUCCAUGGAGCCACGACGGGAACGCCCUCUGGCGCUUUUUUCUUAGUUUUAUCCACAGCAUUUUAGCAGAGUGCUGUGUCCUGUGACAAUGUUCUGGACUGAUUUGGAGGAGAGACCUGGAAUCAUGAAGGGAUAUUUGAGGCAAGUGGAAGUGGUUAGAUGCAUAUAGAGAAUGAAUGGGGAGGAAAAGAGAAAGUUUAAAAAAUCCAAAGUGUCAUUUUAGGGAUUGCUGCAUUUCCUUAAUAUGUAAAUCAGUAGACAAAGGGUAGACAUUAUAGAGAAACAAGUUCCGUUCAGUGUAAGUCAAUAUUACGUGUCUGGUGAUGGAGCCGCUGCGCCGUGUUCAAGCAGACAUUGCUCCUGCCUGAGAGAAGCGCUGUCGGAGGGCCCUCCGCUCUGACCAGUGCUGGGUGGGGUCUAUGGUUCUUUGCAGAGCAACUACUAAACACACAUAUUAUGCUGUCAGUGAAUGAAUGAAUGAACUUGUAAACACGGUGGUGUGAUAUAGUCGAAAGCUAAAAGUAAUGCAAAAAGGAAUUUUAGACACAAAAUUCUAGACAACUCUGAAGGCAAACUUUGUUAUUGUUUGCACAGUAGUGAAUUUUUCCAUUUGAUAGACAACUACUCAGGAGAACUUUUUUAAAAAAAAUGUAUCUUCUGUUUUACAUAGUUCUUUGCAUAUUGGCUAACAAGCUAAUUUACACAUUUAAAUAGUAUCUCGCUAUUUAUUUUCCUUAAUUUUAGUCCUAAUAAGUUCCAUUGGCAACAUAUUUUGUGAUGUAUAUUAAACUCAGAAUAGAAGACCCAGUGUAAUCUAGCCAUUUAUCAACUCACUUGUUCUAAGUUAAAUUGAACUUUGACCUGCUAUAUCCUAAUAGCAAGAUAGGAUAUAGGUUUUUCAUUCAUACCACAGGAAUUCCUUCAACUUGUGCGACCUGCUCAUGUGUGACAUCCGUCUUAUAGAAGUGGAAAGAAUAUGGGCUCUUUCUUUCUUUCUGGGAUGGACGCACCUGCGGCAUAUGGAAGUUCUCAGGCUAGGGGUUUGAAUCAGAGCUGCAGCUGCCGCCUAUGCCACGGCUCAUGGCAGCACCAGAUAUGUAGCCUACUGAACGAGGCCAGGGAUCGAACCUGCCUCCGCACGGAUACUAGUCUGGAUCAUUACCAGGGAAGUCCCUGAGCUUUUCCUUUAAGAGUAUAUUGUUCAUUUUAAUUAGUGGGAGACACUCAUAGCUCAGUUAUCACAAUUCAGUGACACGGGGACAUUCCCCUAACGUGUAAGGCCCAUAAAAUGAGAAAGUGAAGGCAAUGAUUCCUAUUUCAGACUCUCACAAGUUUUGCAUUAAAGGGGACAUCGAAGGCAGCUGACACAUUGGUACAUAGUAAUUAUUCCAUAAAUAGUUCAUUUCUUUUAUCUGGAUACAAACAAAGAAGAAACGUAUUUUUCUUACAUAUUUAAUAUUUUGGGGGGGCGGAGGUUAUUUUACUUUUCAAAUGAUCAACUGCAUAUAUGUAUAAUAUAUGAUAAAAGUUCAUCUGAUUUGCAGUAUUUGAUAAGUUAAUCAGUGUGAAAGUAUUUAUAAUCUAUAAAAUGUCCUUUCCAAAAAAGGAAAAAUACAUAAAAGGAUAGAUUGCCUUCAUGAAAAUAAGAUAACUUGGAGUUCCCGUUGUGGCUCAGUGGUUAACAAAUCCGACUAGGAACCAUGAAGUUGCGGGUUCGAUCCCUGGCCUCGUUCAGUGGGUUAAGGAUCUGGUGUUGCUGUGAGCUGUGGUGAAGGUCGCAGACGUGGGUUGGAUCCCGCGUUGCUGUGACCCUGGCGAAGGCCGGUGGGGAUAGGUCCGAUUAGCUCCUAGUCUGGGAACCGGGUGCGGCCCUGGAAAAUACAAAAAAUAAAAAAUGAAAAUAAGAUAACUUGAUGAAGAUUAUAAUCUGUGGUUUCCUUUAUCAUUUGUGCAUUCAUUUUUCAUUUAUUGAUUAAUUCUUUCAGAAGCAUUUGUUGAAAUUUACUGUGGGUCAGGGUUUACACAUACACUCUAUUUGUAGUUAAAUCUUUUGAUAUUAUUCUACCAGUAUACAGUGUGCUUUCCUGAUGGACCGGCAUUUAAAUUGACUGUUAUUUCUAACUGUCAAUUUUUUAAGGCACGUUUUUGGAAGAACACCAACAAUGCAAUAUAAGUAGGCUAUCAUAACUUCUUAUAUUAUUAUGAAAAUAUUUCUUAUUUUAUUAUGAAAAUAUUUCUUAUAUUAUUAAAAUGACUCGAUUUAAUGUAUAUUCUCAGAGUGUUCUCUUUGAACAAAAUUCUGAAUGAGACAUGGUUGAAAGAAGGCUUUAAAAGUCAUGUAUGAAAGAUGUGAAAAAACCAAAUAACUUUCUAAUGUCACUUCCUAAAACUAAAUACUGUUUUACAUACGUGUAGCAGAGAUGAAACAGUAAAUAUUUAAAAUGACAAGAUGGAUAAAUAAGACACUGUGAUGACUCAUAUGGAAAAUGGCUUUUGAGCUUAUUUUAAAACGUUUUAUAUACACUAGAUCUUUAUUUAAAGUUUACUUAGGGUGUAAAUGAGUUGCAUAGGGUUUUUUCCACCACUCUUUACAAGUGAAUAGUGCUUCUUACUAAGAUGAGCUUGUUCAGAAUGCACUACUUAAUUCUCAGGUUUUAAUGAGCCACACAAUUCAGAGGCAACCACGGUACUUCUUCACGUUAUUUUGUUCAACUACGGAAGAAACUGUUUUCGAUGUUGGAUGAUAGUAUUAAUGGAUUUUUCAAAUUAAGCCGUGAUAAAAGUCUGCGGCUGUUUGCUGCUGAGAAGGAAGAGAGGUAGUACUGAAAAGGGCUGGUAUGAAAUUGCAAUGAGAAAUUG